This 263-nucleotide unclassified non-coding RNA is filed under the name fungal sp. RNAcentral describes it as "partial internal transcribed spacer region". The stretch from base 1 to 45 matches the Rfam family "Eukaryotic small subunit ribosomal RNA", at positions 1787 to 1831 of the family's 1831-position model. Lineage: Eukaryota; Fungi. The record is from RNAcentral.
AGUCGUAACAAGGUAUCCGUAGGUGAACCUGCGGAUGGAUCAUUACCAAAGGAUUUUUAUCCUCUACGUCAUGUGAACUGUUUUGAACGACAGUCAGUGUUUGGAUCUUUUUUAUUGGAGUUUAGUUUCUUUAUUGAAAUUAUUCUAGUAGAAAUCAUAAAUACUGACUGUAUAGUACUAACGUACAUCUGAUCUUGUCAGACUGAAAUCUACCAUAGUGCAAACUAUAAUGACAACUUUUAGCAACGGAUCUCUUGGCUCUC